This is a long non-coding RNA of Myotis lucifugus (little brown bat), 1359 nucleotides long. RefSeq lists it as uncharacterized. The transcript is spliced from 3 exons. NCBI's taxonomy places the organism in Eukaryota, Metazoa, Chordata, Mammalia, Chiroptera, Vespertilionidae. The record is from RefSeq and is a predicted model, not a curated record.
GGGAACCUGGAGUAGGACAGACCAGUAAUGCCUGAGACUCUUGACUCCCCGUCCUGCUCCUCAAUGGUAUAUUGCAGUUCCUGAAAUGAACAGAAGGGGCGCCAUUCCUGCAUUCUUCCUGCUCAGUAAUGAAGCCCCUAGUGAAAGGACAUCACCUACAGUCUGAAAGCCCAAGUCUUCCUCCUGGGGAUCCAGGCUGAUGGAGCACCUAUAACUGGAAAAAUGCUGGUCACCAUGGAAAAGGAAAAAAGGAGCUUCUGCUUGAAAGUGACACUGCCCAGGGUCAGGAGCAAAUCAAAAUGUCUGAUAAUAUAAAGAGCAUAUAACUUAUCAUUUUAAAGCAUUUAGACGUGGAUAGAACUUUUGAAAUGCUUCACUGGAAUUGGAACAGUUUAUUCUUUGUUCUCAGAGCACAGAAGGUUAUAGGCCUCAGAGUUAAGAUCUAGUUCUUAUUCAAUGGUUAAGGAAAGGCAGCUAACAAGAUGGAAACUAACAAGAAUCCAUGUAUCAUUAUCGGGUUAGUUUUCCAAUACAGAGCUUUAUAACAGGUAUCGAUUCCAAAUCUAUAGCAAUAUUGUAGGUCUCAUCCUUGGGGUAGCUGGACAGAGUCUUGGGGUGGUGAAACUCCUGAGCCUAUUGUCUUUGGUAAUGACUAGCCUCACUCUUCUACUCCUGAAUGCUAUUGCUAAUAAUAAUUACAAAUAUUAUUAUUUUAUAUGUGCUGGCAAGAAACACUGGCUAGAGCAAUGGUUACUAUAUUCUGGAGACUAAUACUAGCCUAUGAACAUGUCUUUGCCAACCUAGUAUAGUGAGAAAAAUAAGUAAUAUUUAAUGAGUGCAAUUGACUGGAUGUUUAUGUUCCCUCAAAAUUCAUAUGUUGAAAUCUUGACCUAAUGUGAUAGUAUUUGGAGACUUAGGGGGUAAUUAGGUCAAAAGUGUGGAGCCCUCAAGAAUGAGAUCAGUGCCCUUAUAAGAAGAGGCCUAAUGGCCAUCUGUGAACCAGGAAGAAUGUACUUACCAAGAACCCAAUCAUUCUGGCAUCUUCAUCCCAGCCUCCCAGCCUCCAGAAUGUGAGAAAUAAAUAUUUGUUACUUAAGCCACUCAAUUUGUAGUAAUGUGUUAGAGAAGCCUGGAAUAAGACAGUGAGUAAGGUUUGCAUAAAACUUUUUAAUUCAAAAGGCUGUACUUGAUUUCAAAAUUAUACCCUUACUGUUUUUGAGAGAAAAUAAAUUUUUUGUAAAUUAAAAAUACACCAAAUACUGCUUAUUACCUAUCAGAUUGACAAAAAUUCAAAAGUUAAACAUUAAUAGCCCGGCCAGGAGGUCAAGAUUUGAUUCCCUGUCAGGCACAUGCCUGGGU